Cinara cedri is the source of this 420-nucleotide non-coding RNA. NCBI's taxonomy places the organism in Eukaryota, Metazoa, Arthropoda, Insecta, Hemiptera, Aphididae. The record is from the annotation of a GenBank genome assembly.
UUAUCGCUGUAUAGUAAACCGCAUUACACAUAAAAACUUGCCCUAAAUUGAACAUAAAAAAUAUAAACCGGAGAAAAAAUUAUGUUAACCAGAUGUUAUAAUACACUAUAACCAUUAUUAUUUUUAGUCUUUCAGUUGUGAAAUAAUUUUUUCAUCUGAACAGUGACGUAGCUAUAUGGAUUUAAGUGUCCUGUGGCAAAUUCAAAUUAUGUUCCUUAAUUACUAAGUCAAUUUUUUUCCUUUUCCAAACUCUAAUUAUAUAGUUUUUCCUUAGGUAAUUAUUCCUAUGAUGCAAAACAUAUAGAUGUUUAAAGUGGCUACAUAAUAUGUUUCACUUAAAAAUACAAUACGCAAUACCUAUUAUACCAUUAUACCUAUUAUACUUUAAUGACACAACAUUAAAAAUGACAAAUUACAAAU